GAGUAAUGCUUGGGAACAUGCCUUGAGGUGGGGGACAACAGUUGGAAACGACUGCUAAUACCGCAUAAUGUCUACGGACCAAAGGGGGCUUCGGCUCUCGCCUUUAGAUUGGCCCAAGUGGGAUUAGCUAGUUGGUGAGGUAAUGGCUCACCAAGGCAACGAUCCCUAGCUGGUUUGAGAGGAUGAUCAGCCACACUGGAACUGAGACACGGUCCAGACUCCUACGGGAGGCAGCAGUGGGGAAUAUUGCACAAUGGGCGAAAGCCUGAUGCAGCCAUGCCGCGUGUGUGAAGAAGGCCUUCGGGUUGUAAAGCACUUUCAGUCAGGAGGAAAGGGUGUGAGUUAAUACCUCANAUCUGUGACGUUACUGACAGAAGAAGCACCGGCUAACUCCGUGCCAGCAGCCGCGGUAAUACGGAGGGUGCGAGCGUUAAUCGGAAUUACUGGGCGUAAAGCGUACGC
Molecule: ribosomal RNA, 462 nt
Filed under: Pseudoalteromonas sp. KR04-60
Lineage: Bacteria; Pseudomonadati; Pseudomonadota; Gammaproteobacteria; Alteromonadales; Pseudoalteromonadaceae
Description: bacterial SSU rRNA
Rfam family: Bacterial small subunit ribosomal RNA
Source: RNAcentral